This is a non-coding RNA of Leptonychotes weddellii (Weddell seal), 1583 nucleotides long. The record is from RefSeq and is a predicted model, not a curated record. NCBI's taxonomy places the organism in Eukaryota, Metazoa, Chordata, Mammalia, Carnivora, Phocidae.
GCUCCCUACACAGCCCCACAGAGGUACCGGGGUCCCCCCUCAGUUCCUUCCGCCGUGCUCACUGUUUCAGACCAUCCUCCUCUUCAGCUCUCAGAGAACGUCAUUUUUACCAGGAAGAUCGAAGCCUUGGUUCUGGAGCUUCCUCAGCCUCCUGCCCUCCUCCCCUCUGGGAAGUGCCCCUGUUCUAUUCUGCACCUUCCAGCGUCUUUCCGGGCUUCUUCCCCCCUCAAGUUUCCCGGGCGUUGAGGAGGGCUGGCCGCCGCCUCGCCAAGCCCCGAGCUGAACCCGCUGAUGCCCAGGCCACCCGCUUGUGUCUUGAUCGCCGACUUGAGCUCGUGAUUCUCCCGAAUGAGCUGUACCAGCUUCUUCAGCUCCUCAUUCUCCCGCACCAGCCUCUCGAUCUGAUGCCGAAGCCCCUCAUAAUUGGUGCUCAAAGCCUUUCUCUGACUGCCGGCCUAGGGGCUCCCUUGUCCAAGCACCUGGCUCUCUAUAGCUUGGACUUUCCAUCUCUGGUGACUCAGGUUCCCCUAUUCCAAGUCCCCCAUGGCAGCCCUCUGUGCCCACAUCUCCGUUCUCUGACUGCUUGAAUUUUCCUGCCUGUGGUCCUUCGAGAACCCAAGACAUGCCCCUCGUCAGGUUGUCAGGUUCCGAGAAUUCAGACCUAUGAGUCCUCACCACGCUCUUUUUAAGAGCUAUCUACACAGAGAUCUUGGCGGGCCUGACCUUGGGAGUUAAGUGAGGCGGUGUCCCAGGGGUCUGCACGGGCGGUGUCGCCAUCUGUUCUCAGACGGAAAGGACAGUGAAGCCCAGGUCUAAGCCUGAGGGCGCGCUCCUGGUAGGCAGGCAGGGGUGAGGAUGGGCUUGGAGUCUGCCUGAGUUGAACAUUCUACCUGGACCUCACAAUGGGGGCCUGCCCCCACCCUCCUCGGACACCCUACACUGUAAUCCUGGCUGCGUCGCCCUGGCCCUGUAGGCCUGGCCGGACGUCUCUUCACCACCCUCUGCUGUUUGUAGGACAUCCCAUCCUCCGGCGUGGGAAAACGAGCCUCUCACGGCCUUCCGGGUCUCCUGUACCAUCCGGCCUGGCCUCACUGUUGGCCUCUCCUGGGGUCGAUGCAUCUGGGCUGGUGAAAUUGAUGGCUCAGCAUGGCUGGGUGCCCACGUGCUUGGUCAAACCCUGGUUCAGAUAUUGCUGUGAAAGUAUUUUGUAGUGUGAUAAACAUCUACAGUCGUUGAUUUUAAGUCAAGGAGGUCACCUUCAAUCCUGUGGGCAGACCUCAUCUAAUCAGCUGAAGGCCUGAAGAGCAGAAGGCUGGGGUUUUCCAGGAAAAGAGGAUGCUGGCCUCAGUGCUGUCCCGGAGGCCCUGCCUGAGCAUCCAGGCCACUGGCCUGUGGAUGUGGACAAUUGUAGGAGCCAGUUCCUUAAAAUAAGUCUCUUCAUGCCCGAGAAAUCUGACUGAUGUGCCAUCUGUAUUGGGUACCAGCGCUUCCGUCCUCCCAAAACUGUGUUCGGAGCCCCAGCUAGCGGCAGCCCUGUGUUGGAAUCACAAUAUUGUACACCUGAACUAGCCGCACACUGUAUG